RNAcentral lists this ribosomal RNA (382 nucleotides) under uncultured bacterium. RNAcentral describes it as "bacterial SSU rRNA". It matches the Rfam family "Bacterial small subunit ribosomal RNA", at positions 28 to 403 of the family's 1533-position model. The record is from RNAcentral.
GACGAACGCUGGCGGCGUGCCUAACACAUGCAAGUGGAGCGACGAACCAGGGCUUGCCCUGGGGCAGAGCCGCGAACGGGUGAGUAACACGUGGGUAACGUGCCCCGAUGAUCGGGACAACCCGGGGAAACCCGGGCUAAUACCGAAUGUGCUCCCCUCACACCAGUGAGGGAUGGAAAGGAAGCUUCGGCCUCCGCAUCGGGAUCGGCCCGCGGCCCAUUAGCUUGUUGGUGAGGUAACGGCUCACCAAGGCUGCGAUGGGUAGCUGGUCUGAGAGGACGAUCGGCCACACUGGGACUGAGACACGGCCCAGACUCCUACGGGAGGCAGCAGUGGGGAAUCUUGCGCAAUGCGCGAAAGCGUGACGCAGCAACGCCGCGUU